CCUACGGGCGGCAGCAGUGGGGAAUAUUGCUCAAUGGUGGAAACCCUGAACCAGCGACGCCGCGUGAGCGAUGAAGUAUCUCGGUAUGUAAAGCUCUAUCAGCAGGGGAGAAAAUGACGGUACCUGUCUAAGAAUCCCCGUCUAACUACGUGCCAGCAGCGGCGGUACUGCGUAGGCGGCAGGCGUUAUCCGGAUUUACUGGGUGUAAAGGGAGCGUAGACGGCUGUGCAAGCCAGAUGUGAAAGCCUGGGGCUCAACCCCGGGACUGCAGUUGGAACUGUGUGGCUGGAGUGUCGGAGAGGUAGGCGGAAUUCGUGGUGUAGCGGUGAAAUGCGUAGAUAUCAGGAGGAACACCGGUGGCGAAGGCAGCCUGCUGGACGAUGACUGACGUUGAGGCUCGAAAGCGUGGGGAGCAAACAGGAUUAGAUACCCUUGUAGUC
This 440-nucleotide ribosomal RNA is filed under the name uncultured bacterium. RNAcentral's name for it is "partial 16S ribosomal RNA". It matches the Rfam family "Bacterial small subunit ribosomal RNA", at positions 338 to 795 of the family's 1533-position model. The record is from RNAcentral.